AACCUUGAUGGCAAAAAGUGAGAAAUGACAUUCAAAGUGAGGUCUGAAUUCAUCUUUGAGGAGAAAUUGCUCCUUUGUCCUUGAGGAAAGCACUUUAGUAGGUCUUUGAUUAUUCAGAAGCAAGAACAUAUUCUGGAAAGGAAGCAGAAGGGAGAGAGAAGGAGCUAAAGUACUCUGCAUUAUAAAGUAAUUGCUAAUCUUCCUGGUGGGUGGAUUACUUCUCUAACACAGCUUCCCCUUAAGCAAGUAAGCCUUUUCUCUGAGAACCUCAACGGGAGGCAAGAUGGGGCCCUGGCGCUCCCAAGUGGGAGAGUGAAGCUGUCUCUGUGACAUGGGGUCCCACUGGGUCUGUCCUGGCGCUCCCAAGUGGGAGAGUGAAGCUAUCUCUGUGACAUGGGGUCCCGCCGGGUCUGGAGGAGAGGCAUCCUCCUGAAGUGGACUCUGAAGGUACCUGGUGGAUGAAUUCCAUCAGGAGUCACACAUCUGCAUUAUAAUUCCCUUCUGUUACAGGACGACAAGGGAGGACCUGCAGAAAGUGCCUGGCAGACUAGAGGCUGACAGCUGACUAAGGACACAAGUGUCAGCCACAGCAGAUUGGAGGAACACAGCAUUCCUAUGGAAUUCCCGAGGAUGCUUGGGCUGGGACUCCUGGGAAAGUCCUGUACCUCCAGGAAAAAUGGGAAAAGGGUUUGGAGCACCAUUAUUGGACUGUUAAAGUGAAGCGUGACCACUAUAUUUGGGAAGUGAAUGAGACAUCUGGGUUUCACAUGGUUUCAAAGAACCUCAUGAACAUGAGGAGACAAUACGAGCAAAGGAAUGAGAAUAAGAAACAGCUCAUUGUUUGGAGGAAACUAAGCACCUUGAUGUUUUUGCAGCAUAAGAUAUGAGGCUGGAAUUGGUGUGAGCUUGGAUUGUAUGGGCAUCAUCUCAAACACUCUUUGGCUACUUCGGCACUCCUUGUUUCUACUCAUGUCAUAACUUCCUAGAGAACUCCAACCAUGGGAGGAACCAACUAUGAGCGGAACCGAUCUCCUAUCUUCUCCAUGUCUGUGCCUGCAGCAACGUGUGCUGCUGAAGAAAAAUCAACCACUGGGGCAGAGAGGUAUUAUCUUGUAACUGCAUGAGUAACAAUACAGGUAUCUCACGCGGUGCCUGUGUGUGAAUUAGAACAAGACAUCCCUUCCUCAAGACACUUGGCUUCUCUGUCAGAAAGCUGUGGUGGUAUCUUGAUUUUGCAAGAACAAGGUAAUUUACUGGCAUCUGCCAGAAACUUGCCAUAACAAAUAUAUAAAUCUAUGAUGUUUAUGAUGUGAACAGUUCCCCUCUGAGGUAUGGCAACCUUGUGCAAUGCCUGCACAACUGUACACAGUGGCCCUGAUGACUACCCUCAUUCAGGCACUCAUGCCAGUAAAUGUUUCUUUAGUGAAAUAUAUCAUGCCUUUGCCUGUCUUCUUAAACCCAACUCUUCUUUUUUCCCUUUAUUCUCAGGGGAUAUCUAUUCCUGAUACUUCAAGAAAACUGGAGCUACCAUAUGAGAACUCCCUAAUUUUCCUAUUAUCAUAUCCACAAUCUUUCCAUCAUUUACACCCACCCUUUCCCUCUUUCAUCUUCCUACCAAGACCAGUCCCUUUGUGUGGGCUCUGUAUUCCAAUCCUGUCGAUUCUUUCAUGGAAUAUGUCAUGAUUUUAAAUUCCAUAUUCCUGUAUAUGAAAUAGUUACUGCAUGCCUAUCUCCCUAUUAGAUCCACCCCCAGGGCAGGGAUCAUGUCUGUGUGGCUCAGCACUGGAUCCCUAGGGCUGUGUACAGAGUAGGGGCUCAAAAGAUUUGCCGAAUGGGCGAAUGCUAACACCUAAAGGCACCUGCUAACUGAAGUAUUGCUCUUCCUCUUUCAUUACAAUGGAUUGAAUGACAGUAUUAAUGUAAGCUUGUGAAGAGUAAGGUAAGCCAGCUUGUCCAAUUUAUGUAAAAUAGUACCAUGUCAUGAGAUGGCCAGAUAGCCACGAAAUGCCUUGGGGGAAUGUUACAUGUUGAUAGCUACACGUUUAUACCUAUUACUUACAUAAAUCUAUGAUUUGUUUUUCUUGAAAUUGCUGUCUCUUAUUAAGCUGUGUGCCCUCAAGUUUGCCUAACAUCAGUGUGGGAGGAAACUGACACAUGUUUGGAGAAUGAGUUACACCAAGUGGAGGAUGAAAACUUCUAAAGCAGAGCACAAAGAAACCGGGGGAUUAUUUUGCAACAAUGAGGAAGGUGCUGUAAGGUGCUGACUUGGAGGAGAGCUGCUGGAUUAAAGUAUCCUGCAGAAGUACAGCGCAAACCUAGCCCAUGACUUCCAACCGAGGUUUAGGGGUGGAAAGACAGGCAGGAAAAAUCUUAGAAGCAGACACACUGCUGGUUUUGAGCAUGCAUGUGUUGCGUGUGUGCUCUUACACACAGACACACGACACACAGAGACACACACAAACACACACACCAUCUCUCCAAAACAUGGCAGUAUCUCUAGCUUUCCUGUAUGAGGGUAGUCAUUAUAAUGCUUGUUUUUUCUUGUUAUCUUCCCUAAACGUAAGCAGAGCCUUAGUAUCCAGCAGUAACUUCAAGCUUAUUUCCUGCUGUCUCCCGGCCAGAAAGCUUGGCUGGUAUGACUGGUCUCGAAACCAGCUCUCUACUAAGUCAAGCUCGGGCUGAAAGGGACACUAGAUUUGGAGUCAGCAGGAAGGUAGGUCUAUGCCCAGUUGUGUCAGGCUCUCUGAUGUGACCACAUGUGAACCAAACUCUGGAAAUCUCUGCUUCCCUCCUUACAAUGCCUCUCUCAUAGCACACAGGCUGUGACUUAAAAAGUGGAAGAUGAAGAAAAUGGAAUGCUCAGAGUGUGAGUGGUUAUUAUUAGAGAUCCUUCCUGCAUCUGGCUUAUGCAAUUUUAACUAUGAUAGAAAUACAUUUAGUUUAGAAUAAAGUGGCAAGUUCUUCCAAAUUAGAUGGAACUUCAUGUCCCCAUGAAGUUCUGGGACGAUAGGAAUCUAGGGAAAUGCCGUACAUGGACUCUACUACUCAUCUGAACACUAAGCCAUCACACAUAUUCUCUCUCUCUGAUGAGUGUAUGUCUUAUCUCCCCGACUAAACUGUAUAACUGUUCCAACAGGGUCACUCAAUAAUUGGUCAGUGAAAUCACUGAAGGAAGAUCAAAGAAUGAAAAGUAAGCCUAGAGUUUCUGCUGACAUAUAGUCAGUUGAUUUAUCUUUGAAGUGAGUGCUUUCUUUGUAAGUGUAACUUUUUGCUCCAGAAUCAAAGCAAAAUGGUGAAAAAAACACACAAAUAUUGCCACAGAGAAGGGAAACAUCUAGGCACCCAUGCUGAAAUGAAUCUUAAAACAUCUCCUUUUAAAAACCUGAUUCCUUCCUUGAAUCAACAUUCCCACUAAUUUUGUAGCUUCUGUUCUUCAUAGAAUGGUCAGUCUGUCCCUCUGGGAGACUUUUUCUAGGAGAUUGGUGGGAAGGGUACCAGAAUUCUGACCAGUGUUUCAAGGAAAAACUCUGCCUUUAGAGAGGGAAGGCCAUAUGACGUGAAAAGGACAAGGUAGGGCUUGCUGGUCUGAUUCACAGGAAGACGAUGAGUAACAGCAAUGUUGUCAAGUGCUUUUGAGAAAAAGAAUUAUUCUCUAAAUGACAAGGGAUUCUCAACUAAUGCACAAACAGGUAUAUAAAAAUGCUUGACAGAAUACAUGAAAAAGGAACAUGAUUUCUAAUUGAAGCAGAGGUUGGAAAAAAACAGUAAAGGAUACCAAUUGGAGUCACAAAUCUAACACAAGUUCCUCAUAGGGUGUACUGGGCCCGAUCUAGAGGAAACAUGCACAUCUCAUUAUUAAGUGGAAACGAUGCAGCCAGAUAAGGUUAAUGGAGUACUUACCUCUUCGGCUUAAAUGUUAAAGGCUUUCCAGAUCUCUUCACUAGAAAAACUGCAACUCUCAUGUGGACAGAUACACACUUAGAUCUAAAGGGGACACAGCAAGAUCAUCCAUUGGCUCCCACAUCUAAAACAUCCAAACACGUCUACCUCUUACGGCUUUAAAAUCUGCAGAAAGGGGGGAUGCUUCUCAGCUCCCUUAGGACUCUCCCUACACGAAUAAUUUCUUCAGGAUCUUUAUCACCAAGUAGUGCUGCAACCUGGUCUGAUAAUACAGCCUGAAGAGCUUCAGUUUUACUCUGAGCGAGUGUGGGCCAGCACUGGGUAGACAAAGUGGGCACAGUCAUGGAGAACACAGAGGGUUGGGAGACUAACAGAUAACCACAGUAGAUCCUUAAGCAGAGACGCAGCAUGACAAGACCGCUGUUCAGAGAAGCUAUAAUUUCGGUUCAGUGUGUGUGUGUGUGUGUGUGUGUGAGAGAGAGAGAGAGAGAGAGAGAGACAGACAGACAGACAGACAGACAGAUAGACAGACACAUCUGUUAGGAGAUCUUUCAUUAAAGCCCCAGGUGAUGAAAGUCCAAGACUGGGUGGCCACAAUGAGAAGCAAGAGGAAGGGACCAAUGCAAGGAGACUUUUGACGGGAUUCUAAGCAGGAUAUGAUGGCUGACAGGACAAAGGGGAUGACACUUGGGAAUGAGUCAGGUUUUGAGUUUGGGGCCUAGAAGACUCUGGUAGGGCCAGUCGACAAAUGUGGUAAGUUGUAAAAAAAUAAAAAACAAAA
This is a long non-coding RNA of Orcinus orca (killer whale), 4681 nucleotides long. RefSeq lists it as uncharacterized. The record is from RefSeq and is a predicted model, not a curated record. The transcript has 3 exons. NCBI's taxonomy places the organism in Eukaryota, Metazoa, Chordata, Mammalia, Artiodactyla, Delphinidae.